UGGGUAUGAUGUAGCCUUGAUUCUUACAGGAGUGUGUGUUGGUGUGCUGCUUCUGCAACAGGUCAGCCUUACCCCGCUCGGCCUGAGCCCCUCCACUCCACGGAUACGUGGCUGAGAAUACAGCCGUCGCUCGCUGUGGAGGCAGAUGGGGUGAACCACAGCUCCAUCCUGUCCACUGCUGGAACCAUGGAGGAGACCAGCUAUCAGCACCAGCUCCAAAUCCCAGUGCUCUCUCUUUGUCUCUGCCUCCUUUUCCUGCUGGUGUUGGGCUCCACGGCAUUGCUGGCCUUCAGACGAAGGAUUCACAAAACUGACUUCACCACAGAACGCCUGCAGACAAGGAGGCCCGUGGAGGAGAACAUCUACACUCUGGACUAGGAUGCCGCAGAGCUCGUCUGGAUGUUAUCAACACGGAGACGCAAGAUCCCAGAAGCUCCAGUCCUUCAUAGAGGAAGUCAUCACCAACAAGCAUUCUUCCCAACAGCUCAUCAAGCCAAGGCACCUCAGUGAACCCAAACAAACGGAGAAACAAACAGCGCGAUCACACUUCAUCACGGCAAAUUUCUUACACCAGGAAAGUCAGUCAUAAAUACAGCUGGGUGCAUUUAGUCACUGAAAUGAUACAUAAAAAACUUUAACAGUAAUAGUAUCUCCAGGUUUAUAUUAACGGAAUUAAUGCGGUUGAACUAAUUGAAACGUGUACAGUUGUGGAGAAUGCAGCGCCCGUAUACAAAUCUGUUUAUACAACGUUGAAAUGGUCCUAAUAAAAUUUGUAAUGA
Long non-coding RNA from Scleropages formosus (Asian bonytongue), 779 nucleotides. RefSeq lists it as uncharacterized. NCBI's taxonomy places the organism in Eukaryota, Metazoa, Chordata, Actinopteri, Osteoglossiformes, Osteoglossidae. The transcript has 4 exons. The record is from RefSeq and is a predicted model, not a curated record.